Molecule: ribosomal RNA, 587 nt
Filed under: Trichophyton mentagrophytes
Lineage: Eukaryota; Fungi; Ascomycota; Eurotiomycetes; Onygenales; Arthrodermataceae
Description: partial large subunit ribosomal RNA
Rfam family: Eukaryotic large subunit ribosomal RNA
Source: RNAcentral
ACACGGGUAUGCCCAGUACGGCGAGUGAAGCGGCAAGAGCUCAAAUUUGAAAUCUGGCCUCCCCCGGGGCCCGAGUUGUAAUUUGCAGAGGAUGCUUCGGGUGCGGCCGCCGUCUAAGUUCCUUGGAACAGGACGUCAGAGAGGGUGAGAAUCCCGUCUUGGGCGGGCGGUCCGCGCCCGUGUGAAGCUCCUUCGACGAGUCGAGUUGUUUGGGAAUGCAGCUCUAAGCGGGUGGUAAAUUUCAUCUAAAGCUAAAUAUUGACCGGAGACCGAUAGCGCACAAGUAGAGUGAUCGAAAGGUUAAAAGCACCUUGAAAAGGGAGUUAAACAGCACGUGAAAUUGUUGAAAGGGAAGCGCUUGCGCCCAGACUCGGGGGCGGGGUUCAGCGGGUGCUCGUCGCCCGUGUACUCCUCGUCUCCCGGGCCAGCAUCAGUUUCGACGGCCGGUCAAAGGCCCCCGGAAUGUGUCGUCUCUCGGGACGUCUUAUAGCCGGGGGUGCAAUGCGGCCCGUCGGGACUGAGGAACGCGCUCCGGCUCGGAUGCUGACGUAAUGCCGUAAGCGGCCCGUCUUGAAAAACAGAACAAA